UACGUAGGAUCCAAGCGUUGUCCGGAUUUACUGGGUGUAAAGGGUGCGCAGGCGGACUUGUAAGUCAGAGGUGAAAUCUCUCCGCUCAACGGGGAAACUGCCUUUGAGACUGCAGGUCUUGAAUCCGGGAGAGAGUUGUGGAAUUCCGAGUGUAGCAGUGAAAUGUGUAGAUAUUCGGAAGAACACCAGCGGCGAAGGCAGCAACUUGGCCCGCGAUUGACGCUCAGGCACGAAAGCAUGGGGAUCAAACAGG
Molecule: ribosomal RNA, 253 nt
Filed under: uncultured bacterium
Lineage: Bacteria
Description: partial 16S ribosomal RNA
Rfam family: Bacterial small subunit ribosomal RNA
Source: RNAcentral